RNAcentral lists this ribosomal RNA (522 nucleotides) under uncultured Glomus. Its description in RNAcentral is "SSU rRNA". It matches the Rfam family "Eukaryotic small subunit ribosomal RNA", at positions 569 to 1092 of the family's 1831-position model. The record is from RNAcentral. Lineage: Eukaryota; Fungi; Glomeromycota; Glomeromycetes; Glomerales; Glomeraceae.
AGCAGCCGCGGUAAUUCCAGCUCCAAUAGCGUAUAUUAAAGUUGUUGCAGUUAAAAAGCUCGUAGUUGAAUUUCGGGAUCAAUAUAUCGGUCGUGCCUUUGGUACGUACUGGUAUCAUUGAUUUCUCCUUUCUGACGAAUCAUGAUGUCAUUAAUUUGGUGUUAUGAGGAGUUAGGACUGUUACUUUGAAAAAAUUAGAGUGUUUAAAGCAGGCAUUAGCUUGAAUACAUUAGCAUGGAAUAAUGAAAUAGGACGUUUGACCCUAUUUUGUUGGUUUUUAGGAUCGACGUAAUGAUUAAUAGGGAUAGUUGGGGGCAUUAGUAUUCAAUUGUCAGAGGUGAAAUUCUUGGAUUUAUUGAAGACUAACUACUGCGAAAGCAUUUGCCAAGGAUGUUUUCAUUAAUCAAGAACGAAAGUUAGGGGAUCGAAGACGAUCAGAUACCGUCGUAGUCUUAACCAUAAACUAUGCCGACUAGGGAUCGGAUGAUGUUAAUUUUAUAAUGACUCAUUCGGCGCCUUACG